This 21-nucleotide microRNA is filed under the name Mus musculus (house mouse). RNAcentral's name for it is "mmu-miR-6391". Lineage: Eukaryota; Metazoa; Chordata; Mammalia; Rodentia; Muridae. The record is from miRBase by way of RNAcentral.
UGAGGCACGGGAGGACAAUGU